GCUUAGCCCUGAUGGCAGAGGAAAUCCUUUUUGUAGCGCAGCGGAAAAAAGAUUGCAGCGUACAGCAGGAAAAUGC
Molecule: small RNA, 76 nt
Filed under: Flavobacterium noncentrifugens
Lineage: Bacteria; Pseudomonadati; Bacteroidota; Flavobacteriia; Flavobacteriales; Flavobacteriaceae
Description: Flavo-1 RNA
Rfam family: Flavo-1 RNA
Source: Rfam by way of RNAcentral